UCCUGCCUACCUGCAGUCGAACGGCAGCACGGGUGCUUGCACCUGGUGGCGAGUGGCGAACGGGUGAGUAAUACAUCGGAACAUGUCCUGUAGUGGGGGAUAGCCCGGCGAAAGCCGGAUUAAUACCGCAUACAAUCCACGGAUGAAAGCGGGGGACCUUCCGGCCUCUCGCUAUAGGGUUGGCCGAUGGCUGAUUAGCUAGUUGGUGGGGUAAAGGCCUACCAAGGCAACCAUCACUAGCUGGUCUGAAAGGACGACCACCCACACUGGGACUGAGACACGGCCCACACUCCUACGGGAGGCAGCAGUGGGGAAUUUUGGACAAUGGGCGAAAGCCUGAUCCAUCCAUGCCGCGUGUGUGAAGAAGGCCUUCGGGUUGUAAAGCACUUUUGUCCGGAAAGAAAUCCGUGGCUCUAAUACAGUCGGGGGAUGACGGUACCGGAAAAAUAAGCACCGGCUAACUACCUGCCAGCACCCGCGGUAAUACGUAGGGUGCAAGCGUUAAUCGGAAUUACUGGGCGUAAAGCGUGCGCAGGCGGUUUGCUAAGACCGAUGUGAAAUCCCCGGGCUCAACCUGGGAACUGCAUUGGUGACUGGCUGGCUAGAGUAUGGCAGAGGGGGGUAGAAUUCCACGUGUAGCAGUGAAAUGCGUAUAGAUAUGGAGGAAUACCGAUGGCGAAGGCAGCCCCCCUGGGCCAAUACUGACGCUCAUGCACGAGAGCGUGGGGAGCAAACAAGAUUAGAUACCCUGGUAGUCCACGCCCUAACGAUGUCAACUAGUUGGUUGGGGGAUUCAUUUCCUUAGUAACGUAACUAACGCAUGAAGAUGACCUGCCUGGGGGCGGUACGUCGCAUGAUAAUAACUCGAGUGACUGACGGGCGAGCCCGCACCAGCCGGAUGCGAUGGAUGUGGAU
RNAcentral lists this ribosomal RNA (915 nucleotides) under bacterium W31. Its description in RNAcentral is "bacterial SSU rRNA". It matches the Rfam family "Bacterial small subunit ribosomal RNA", at positions 46 to 950 of the family's 1533-position model. The record is from RNAcentral.